UUUCCGUAGGUGAACCUGCGGAAGGAUCAUUGUCGA
Molecule: ribosomal RNA, 36 nt
Filed under: Ficus altissima (council-tree)
Lineage: Eukaryota; Viridiplantae; Streptophyta; Magnoliopsida; Rosales; Moraceae
Also listed under: 12 other names
Description: partial 18S ribosomal RNA
Source: RNAcentral